UACGGGGGGAGCAAGCGUUGUUCGGAUUUACUGGGCGUAAAGGGCGCGUAGGCGGCCAGCACAAGUCAGUUGUGAAAUCUCCGAGCUUAACUCGGAAAGGUCAACUGAUACUGUGCGGCUAGAGUGCGGAAGGGGCAACUGGAAUUCUUGGUGUAGCGGUGAAAUGCGUAGAUAUCAAGAGGAACACCUGCGGCGAAGGCGGGUUGCUGGGCCGGUACUGACGCUGAGGAGCGAAAGCGUGGGGAGCAAACAGG
RNAcentral lists this ribosomal RNA (254 nucleotides) under uncultured bacterium. RNAcentral describes it as "partial 16S ribosomal RNA". It matches the Rfam family "Bacterial small subunit ribosomal RNA", at positions 524 to 776 of the family's 1533-position model. The record is from RNAcentral.